This 389-nucleotide ribosomal RNA is filed under the name Paromoionchis boholensis. RNAcentral describes it as "partial 16S ribosomal RNA". It matches the Rfam family "Archaeal large subunit ribosomal RNA", at positions 1994 to 2658 of the family's 2987-position model. Lineage: Eukaryota; Metazoa; Mollusca; Gastropoda; Systellommatophora; Onchidiidae. The record is from RNAcentral.
AUGAAAAUUAACGGCCGCAGUACCCUGACUGUGCUAAGGUAGCGUAAUCAGUUGGCUUUUAAAUGAAGUCGAGAAUGAAUGGGUCUACGGGAAUAAGCUGUCUCCUUUUGUACUCGUGAACUUAUUUAGAAGGUGAAAAUCCCUUUACGUAGAAAAAAGACGAGAAGACCCUUAGAGUUUUAAUAAAAAUCACAUGUUGUGACAUUUUUUUGCUGGGGCGGCAAGGAGCACAAUUAAACUCUCCUACAUAGAUUUUGAAGACGAAAUUUAUAAGAAUCAUUAAACUACCUUAGGGAUAACAGCAUAAUUAAUUUUUAGUUUGUGACCUCGAUGUUGGACUAGGAAUAACUUUUGGUUAGAAGCCAAAAGUACCGUUCUGUUCGAACAUU